GACGAACGCUGGCGGCGUGCCUAAUACAUGCAAGUAGAACGCACAGUUUAUACCGUAGCUUGCUACACCAUAGACUGUGAGUUGCGAACGGGUGAGUAACGCGUAGGUAACCUGCCUGGUAGCGGGGGAUAACUAUUGGAAACGAUAGCUAAUACCGCAUAAUAUUAAUUAUUGCAUGAUAAUUAAUUGAAAGGUGCAAUUGCACCACUACCAGAUGGACCUGCGUUGUAUUAGCUAGUAGGUGAGGUAACGGCUCACCUAGGCGACGAUACAUAGCCGACCUGAGAGGGUGAUCGGCCACACUGGGACUGACACGGCCCAGACUCCUACGGGAGGCAGCAGUAGGGAAUCUUCGGCAAUGGACGAAAGUCUGACCGAGCAACGCCGCGUGAGUGAAGAAGGUUUUCGGAUCGUAAAGCUCUGUUGUAAGAGAAGAACGGGUGUGAGAGUGGAAAGUUCACACUGUGACGGUAUCUUACCAGAAAGGGACGGCUAACUACGUG
Molecule: ribosomal RNA, 503 nt
Filed under: uncultured bacterium
Lineage: Bacteria
Description: partial 16S ribosomal RNA
Rfam family: Bacterial small subunit ribosomal RNA
Source: RNAcentral